AAUACAUUAGUACAAUACCAGAAACACAAUUUAUUUAGAUUCCAGUAGAAAACAUAAUAGAAAGCACAAGUAGAGAUUGUAACUUACAAGUCUCCCAAUUCAAUUAACCAUCUUCAAUCUCUCAAACUUGACCUUAUUGAACCUUUCUUCACAACAAGUAAUACGCUUCACUGCGAUUAGCAGAAGGAGAACUUAUCUUUAGUUUUGUCAAGAAACUGGAAAUAUGCAUGCCUCCAUGACCUCUUUAUCACCAAACCGCCAAAAACAACCCAAAAUCCCAUGAUGAACCCCAAUGCUGUGCUUGCAUACAACCAUAGUUUUCCAUAAUUCUCUUCUUCAUCUUCUUCAGCAUCUGCAUCCUGAUCGUUGUUGGAUGCUGCAUUGGUUUGGCAAUGGUGGUCCACAAAGUCCUGAGUUUCCUUCAAUGACAUUGGGAUCAUUGAAGGUAAGGAAUUGGUUGGCUGAUGGAAUUGGCCCAGAGAGGUUGUUGUAUGACAAGUUCAAUUCAUGUAGUGAAAUCAAAGAGGUCAUGUUUAAAGGAAUUGGAACCUAAGUAUGAUUACUAGAGAGGUCAAGAGCUUCUAAGUUAUGCUGGCUUCCAAUACUGCAUGGUAUCUUUCCAAUACUGCAUGCUUAAUCUCAACCAUUUGAGUGAUGGUAGUUUGGAACACAAAGAACUUAGAAUUUAACCAGAUAGAUUGUUGUUAGUCUAUGAUGGUCAAAUCUUUUAAACCCAUCCAAUCCCUAGGAAUAUUUCCAGAUAAAUAAUUCCUUGAGAAAUCAAGAAAGACCAGUGACUUCAUUUUACUUGAGAAAGGGGGAACACUGCCAUUCAUAUUAUUCCUCGAAAGACCUGGCACACUUAACUUUGACAUCUCACUGCCAAUGUUUAGGGGAAUUAGUCUGGAAAAUCUGUUGCUUGCCAAGCUUAGAUUUAUUAGAACUGGCCAAAGUGGGAUGGAACCUACCAAGCUGUUGUUGUUCAAAUACACGAACUGUAGAGGAGAAUUUAUGGAGUUAGGAAGUUCUCCUCUCAACUGGUUGUCAGAGAGUUCCAACCACGUGAGGAGAGGUGAAAUUCUCCAAAAUCAGUCGGGUAUUGUAUCGAAAUUCCAACAUUUGUGUGUUAUAUCUCUAAGGAAAUUUUGAGUUCUGAACUGUGCUGGAAAUGCAGGACUCAUAAGCUUGCAAUCUGUGAUAUUGAGAAAUGCAAGAUUUAAGGGAGGAAUCCAUUCAUGAUUGACAUUGAAAACAACAGAGUUAGAUAACUGGCGUGACAGUUCAAACUCACCAAUUUAGUGAGUUUUUGGAAAUGGUUUUCAGAUAAUAUAAAAAAAAAAAAAAACAACUUCCCAUGGACAACUCCUCAGAUCCAAGUACUGUAACUCUCUGAGUUGUCUAAUACUUUCUAGAAUAGUUCCAUUCAUUUCUGAGUUAUAGGAAAGCUCCAUGUCCUGUAAAUGCAACAGGUUUCCUAUUGAUGUUGGAAGUGGACCGGAGAUUGAGUUAAGGGAAAGGUCCAUGAUCUAGUCAGACACUGUACUUCAACUGCGUGACAAAAAUUCAGAAGCUAGGGUAUAUGAUUGCCUAACUAAAUUAUUUGCGCGAAGUUCUUUUCCUUUCAUUUCCUCCUUUCUUUCUUUUCGUCUUUUCCUGGUUUGAAUAUUUUUGGAUGGAUGGAUAAAGUUCCCCACCAAGCUUUAUAUGUCAAUUUACUGAUAUAAAAACCUUAGCAGCCCAGAAAACUUAAUGAAUUUCUAUUAGUACAACCGUUUUGUGUCCCAAUAUUUAAAUUCCCUUCUGCAAUAAGCUUAGUAAAACAGUUAUCAUUCUUUGAAGGAAAACAUUAAAGAGAUAGACGUUGUUUCCAAUCACAAUUAUCAUAGUAGAAUUCUUGAUGAAGAGUGUUUAUCUGAGUAUCCAAUCACAAUUCACAUGGGAUGUUCAGUGCUUAUGAUAUCCAUGGGGCCUUUCUUCUGUGGACAAGUUUCCUAUUCACCAAACUCUGCAAAUUGAAGUAAUGAAUCAAUGUACUUUCACAUCAUUUUCUAAGGCAGGGUAUUCCUUUCAUACUGUACGCCGAACAAACACAGGUAGCAGCAUGAAAUACACGAGUACUAUUCAUCAUCAUCAUCAUCAUAGGUUAGUUGAUUAGAGAAUCUAAUUCCGGCACCUUAUUUUUGCAAGAGAACUGCCAACUUGGCAAAAGUUGUGGGUCAACAUUGCUCAAAGAUGGCAUAAUGAAUUUCUAGCAGACCUUGUAGCAUUGGAGGACUGACCAAAACCGAACAGGUUUCUCGGCACGUUGAAUGUCAGUUGGGCUUGAUUGCCGCAGAUCUUCGAUCAGAUUGUGUAAAGCUUCAUUUGUUUUUGCCAAUGGAUUGCACAAAGGUUCAGGCCGGGCAUUAUCCUCUUCGGCAAUAAGAAGUGAAAUUGAUUCCUAGCAGUCAAAACACCUCCAUGAACAAGUGCUGCACUCUCGCUACUCCAAAGAUAUGGAGCUGGAUCAUUAACUGAACUGCAUUGUGUUGGCAAUGGAGGUCCGCAAAGUCCUGAGUUUCCUUCAAAUGAGGUUGGGUCAUUGAAGGUGAGGAAUUGGUUGGCUGAUGGGAUUGGCCCAGAGAAGUUGUUGAAUGACAAAUUCAAUUUGCUUAGUG
This is a long non-coding RNA of Rosa chinensis, 2657 nucleotides long. RefSeq lists it as uncharacterized. The transcript has 3 exons. Lineage: Eukaryota; Viridiplantae; Streptophyta; Magnoliopsida; Rosales; Rosaceae. The record is from RefSeq and is a predicted model, not a curated record.